RNAcentral lists this ribosomal RNA (373 nucleotides) under cf. Mitromorpha sp. NP-2008. Its description in RNAcentral is "eukaryotic LSU rRNA". The stretch from base 1 to 105 matches the Rfam family "5.8S ribosomal RNA", at positions 50 to 154 of the family's 154-position model. The record is from RNAcentral. Lineage: Eukaryota; Metazoa; Mollusca; Gastropoda; Neogastropoda; Conidae.
CAACUGCGUGAAUUAAUGUGAAUUGCAGGACACAUUGAACAUCGACACUUUGAACGCAUAUGGCGGCCAAGGGUCCGUCCUUUGGCCACGCCCGUCUGAGGGUCGGCGAAGUUCUACCCAUCGCCGGAGGCUCUUUCCGGCGCGUUGGGCUCUCGCAGCAGCCGCCUGGCGGCUCCGAGGCUCCAAGUUCAGACCCGGUUUUUUUUAAAAAGCCGACCUCCUCUGGCUCCCCGCCGCCCGGCUGUCCUCUUGAGCGGGCGAAGGACAUGGCUCGGAUUUUGCGAUCGUGCCUUCGCCUUGCCGGCCGAGGUGGUGCCAAGGGGAGCCUCUCAUUUCCGACCUCAGAUCGGACGAGAUUACCCGCUGAAUUUAA